ACGUGGCACCUUUGGGCGUUUGGAAAUUGCUCCCAAGGAUGAACCAGAAUUGUGGAGAUCUACAAUUUGGCUGAUUUCAUUUUCCCAUGAUGUCAAGCAAAGAGGCACCGAGUUUGAAGGUGGUGCUAGAUGUGGGCUGUGGGAUGGGCAUCCUGUCUAUGUUCGCUGCCAGAGCGGGAGCCAAGAUGGUCAUUGGGGUGGACCAAUCAGAAAUCAUCCUCCAGGCCAUGGACAUUGUCAGGUCGAACCAGCUGUAGGACAGGGUCACUCUGAUAAAGGGCAGAAUAGAGGAGGUCAAACUUCCCCUUGAGAUGGUGGACAUCAUCAUC
This is a long non-coding RNA of Oncorhynchus nerka (sockeye salmon), 329 nucleotides long. RefSeq lists it as uncharacterized. The transcript is spliced from 3 exons. Lineage: Eukaryota; Metazoa; Chordata; Actinopteri; Salmoniformes; Salmonidae. The record is from RefSeq and is a predicted model, not a curated record.